Molecule: ribosomal RNA, 641 nt
Filed under: Salmonella enterica
Lineage: Bacteria; Pseudomonadati; Pseudomonadota; Gammaproteobacteria; Enterobacterales; Enterobacteriaceae
Description: partial 23S ribosomal RNA
Rfam family: Bacterial large subunit ribosomal RNA
Source: RNAcentral
CUUUUGGGUGUGACUGCGUACCUUUUGUAUAAUGGGUCAGCGACUUAUAUUCUGUAGCAAGGUUAACCGAAUAGGGGAGCCGGAGGGAAACCGAGUCUUAAUUGGGCGUUAAGUUGCAGGGUAUAGACCCGAAACCCGGUGAUCUAGCCAUGGGCAGGUUGAAGGUUGGGUAACACUAACUGGAGGACCGAACCGACUAAUGUUGAAAAAUUAGCGGAUGACCUGUGGCUGGGGGUGAAAGGCCAAUCAAACCGGGAGAUAGCUGGUUCUCCCCGAAAGCUAUUUAGGUAGCGCCUCGUGAAUUCAUCUCCGGGGGUAGAGCACUGUUUCGGCUAGGGGGCCAUCCCGGCUUACCAACCCGAUGCAAACUGCGAAUACCGGAGAAUGUUAUCACGGGAGACACACGGCGGGUGCUAACGUCCGUCGUGAAGAGGGAAACAACCCAGACCGCCAGCUAAGGUCCCAAAGUCAUGGUUAAGUGGGAAACGAUGUGGGAAGGCACAGACAGCCAGGAUGUUGGCUUAGAAGCAGCCAUCAUUUAAAGAAAGCGUAAUAGCUCACUGGUCGAGUCGGCCUGCGCGGAAGAUGUAACGGGGCUAAACCAUGCACCGAAGCUGCGGCAGCGACGUUUAUGCGUUGUU